AAUCUUAACAUGGUAUCAGAGCCUCAGUAAUAUUUUUUUUGUUUCUUGUUGAGAUUUAAAACCCAUUCUUAGGCUUCCCUGUGUAGAGAAGCCAUUGCCUCUCUAGCUCGCUACUUUAGGGUAGUCUUCGUGCCUCACCACCCCCCAAGGAGUUUGUUUGGUCGCCGACUAGCCUUCCCACAAAAUCCCGUCACCAGUGGAUUGGUGAGUAGCCCUCACGUGUUGGAUCAAGGUUUUUGCGCCGUAACCACCGCAUCUAACGUAUUCUGGUGGUCAAUCUUCUUUGCCCGUCAUUGCCUUAAAAAGUAUAGUGCAUCCUUGGUGGUUUUUUGGUGUUUUGAUGUCACCUUAUGGUGUUGGUGAACCUGGAAUGCUAUUGUGAAUUUACUAAAACUAAUACCUGUUGCUGCAAAUUCUUCUAAGGAAGCUUUUGACCUUAGUUUGAGUUGGGUUUUGGGACUUUUCUCUUGGUGGUGUUUUGGAAAUUUGGCUGCUGUGUUCUUUCAAUUCACCUGUUUUGCUUCUAUCUUCUUUUGAUAAGUUGUUCUAUUUGGG
This 555-nucleotide unclassified non-coding RNA is filed under the name Hevea brasiliensis (rubber tree). Lineage: Eukaryota; Viridiplantae; Streptophyta; Magnoliopsida; Malpighiales; Euphorbiaceae. The record is from RNAcentral.